GAGAUGUUAACUUAAAAAUAAAGUGCCAAACUUUUAAUUUGGAAAUGGAAAUCCACAUCUUA
This 62-nucleotide transfer RNA is filed under the name Litoditis aff. marina PmI. RNAcentral's name for it is "tRNA-Lys". The record is from RNAcentral. Lineage: Eukaryota; Metazoa; Nematoda; Chromadorea; Rhabditida; Rhabditidae.